UUUUUUUUUUUUUUUUUUUUUUUUAAAUUUAACGACCGCAUCGAAAUUCGAGGGCGAUCCGGCGAUGUCGUGUCGCAUUUUUUCGAAUGUGUGAGGCCUGUACAAUAUCGAGGAUAUUUCCGAAAAUUACUAUAGCGUGUACUGUAAUAUUAUUAACACUAGAGUAGAGAAGUUCUUUCGAAAAAAUUGAACUGGUAGGGAGUGUGAAGAGAGUACAAACUGAAGACACAAUAAACUGCGCGCGCGAGUGGUGCGAUAGUCGAGGGAAGUCGGGGGAAGGAUUAAGAGGUACUUAUAUACACGCGGUAAUAAAAUGGUAAAUUCGUUUUUUUUGUGUAAAUAUACAUAUAGGGUGCUCCGUGGUGUACAUACAGCGCGCCGAGACUACGCGGCGCGUGUCGCUUUUAAAGAUAUUUUUGACGGUCGACUUGAUCCAUUGUAUAGAUCACACGAUUCAAUCAUGUAGUAAAAAAAAAGAAAAUAUACAUACGUGUGUAUAAUAUAUAGUAUUUUUUCAUGAGGGUCGCGACGGAACGACGACGAGUCGACCAGGUUUAUUAAAAAAAAAAAAAGAGGGGAAGGGAGGGGGGGGGAAAUCUUAAUCCGCGAUCAGCAAAUUUCCAGUGGACGAUUGCUGAAUGUCUGUAGACAAUGGCGGACGUAAUCAGGCCUUAUCGAGAACCUCUUGACGGAGCGUUAGCCCUAAGAACACCGAGAGAUCGGCGAGACAGCUCGCUCGCACUCAGUUUUCUCCGUUUCUUGACUUUUGUCGCGAGAAAAAUAUUACAGAGUAAAUAUCGUCUUAUUAUUUUCUAUCUAGAGAUACACGUCUUUAAAAUACAUGCACGAUACGUAUGUUUUAGAAGUGUAUAGUGGCGGAUUUGCAUACGGUCGAUACCACGGCUACGUGUCGUACCGAGUAACUACCCUUCCGCCGUAACUAUAGUCGUUGGAUAAAAAUAAAAAGGGUCCUGAAACAGCAGCUGUGCAAAGUGGCUGCUCUCCGGCGAGAGCAGUGUAACCGAUAAGGAGCUCGGUGUUCUCGGAGGUCUAAGCGUGGAUGAUGGUGGUGAAUUAUACGGUACCUUUCUCCGCGCAAAGAACGCGCGGACGACGAGUCGCAAUCCCUUUACACGCUUGUAGUAAUAACUAUAGCGCCGGUAUAAUAUUUUAUUAUCGUUAAUAAAUCGCGACGACGUAUAGCACCACGCGAAAUACAUACAUAGGUAUAUACACAUGUGUGUGUGUGUGUGUGUGUGUGUGUGUGUGUGUGUUUGCGUGCGUGCGUGUGCGUGUGCGUGUGCGCGCAUGUAUUUCGUAUGGUGUUACGCACACCCGUUAUAUAUUCUGGAUAUUAUAUAUUUUUACUGUGUAAUUAUAAUAAAUUGCUAUACAAUUACUAAUUCAAUCACGAGCGCGUAAUUCACCUAUACAAAUUAACAAUUAACGGGUCAACAUUCGAUCCAUUUGAAAUUGCCAUGAAAAUGGAAAUUCUGUCCAUCAGCUGGUCUGGCUCUUCGACGUGCCGCAUUUGGGCCACCGCUGCAUCCGCGGGCGUUAUAAGAUUAACGUUCGCCAUUCGUGGUUUUUGUAAAUAUGUACCUAGAAAGAGAGAGAACGAGCGAGCGAGAGAGAGAGAGAGAGAGAGAGAGAGAGAAAUAGAGAGAAAGAGAAAAAAAAAAGAGAGGGAAUUUAGACGAAAUGUCGAUGUCUUUGAUGUUCGAUCAUUCUUUCUAUAUGAGAUGUGAGAUUAAUUCGUCGAGAAAAUCCUCCGCGCCUCCGUGUAUCUUUCAAGAGAUGAGGAGCAAGUUAAGAGCAUUUAUUAAUACUAAUAAAUCUCUAAAUAUCGAUAUUCCGCGUCCUUUUUAUCUCGAGUUUUGCGUGGAAUCAAACAGUGAUGGGAAUCCAAAACGUUUUCGAAAAAUGUUGUCAACAAUAAAAAUAUAAUACGCAUAUUGAAAAUCUUGAGAAUCUUAAUUAGAUUUCCUAUUUAAAAUAUAGAAAAAUGCAAUUAAGUGCAUAUAAAUAACAGUAUAAUCGUUAAAACAUGUUUCAAUUUCGCGAUGAUGUCCCCGAAUGAGUCGUAAAAUUUUGAUUUGCAAAUUACGAUGUACAAUCCAUGCUUCUUUAAUUUUCAAUUUUUCAAUUGUUUUUUUUUUUUUUUAAACGUCGAACAUCUGAAUUUUAAUGAUGCACAAAUGUCCGAAUAUACAUCCUUUCUUUUUUUUAAUAUUUUUUUUCGCGAAAAUGCCUUCACUAAAGCUUUUCCUUCGGUAAAUACGUGCAAAGGAAUUUCGCUCCGCUUUAUUCAUACGACUCAAUUAUCGCUCGAACUUCCCGGCCAAGGUUGCAAGAACAGAGAGCGCAUCCGUUCCGAGCAGGUCUGAUUUAUCUGGCACGUAGCAGGCCAAAGUUUGCGCACACACGUCCCGCACCCGUAAACGAACUUCCAGAUUAAAGUCUUUUCGUUCAUGUUCUACCAAUCAAUAGAUAGUAGGCGGUAAGUAUUCCGACAAUUCUCCUCGAUUUCAUAUCCUCCCGAUAAAUACGCGAUUAAUUGAAUUCCCAUCACUGGCUAGUCGUCCAGCAGCGGCAGCGGCAGCAGCAGCAGCAGCACCUUGUACAAACACGAAUUUUACGAUAGAAAAGGAAAGGCGAAUGAAUUUUUUAAUAACACGCCACGCGUAAAACAAAGCGAGUCGAUUCGGAGGUGGUUUUAUUUCUAGCGCGCGCGCGCGCGCGCGCACAAGAGGAAGACAAAAAUGCGGUAUUUUAGAUUUAGUAGAAAAAAAAAAUCGAGAUUGAUUAUAUUUUAGUAACGCGUUUGAUAUCCGACGAAAAAUAUUUCGAAUGACACGUGCAAAAAUUUCGGAGGAGAUGCGAGAGAGAGAGAGAGAGAGAGAGAGAGAGAGAGAGAGAGAGAGAGAGAGAGAGAGAGAGAAGAGACAGAUGUGAGGAAAAAACGUCGCUUCUCCUUCUAUCUUGUACUUUCAGAAACGUGCCUGUAUGUGGGCGGUUUAAUAGUCGCUAAGACGAAAGGUGUCGAGAUAAGAAUUUAGGACGCGAGAUCUACUUUCUAUUUGUAUGCUUCUAGAGACGAGAGGCACGUAGCCACCCGUGUACCGAUUGUCUUUAAUGUUAAUGACAGAUUAAUUCGUUCGCAGCUGAUUAGUUCACUCGCUAUCCCGAAGUUAUGAUUGAUAUCGCGAGCUAAUACGACGCACAUGAGAUACAAAUACACACAAACACACACACACACACACACACACAACAUAUACACACAGAUCUGUACAUACACCUGUACGAUUAAUUAAGUAUGAGGUUUUAGAGAAAUUAAGUCAAAUCUGACCGGCGAGAACUUGGUUACGAGUGCGUAAUGUCACGCGCAGACACACUCUCUUCUUUAUUUUUGUCAUGUCGAUACUUGGCCGAUAAUAAAAAUGCAUACUAGAC
This 3453-nucleotide long non-coding RNA is filed under the name Pogonomyrmex barbatus (red harvester ant). RNAcentral's name for it is "uncharacterized LOC105423346". Lineage: Eukaryota; Metazoa; Arthropoda; Insecta; Hymenoptera; Formicidae. The record is from RNAcentral.